UACGAAGGGGGCGAGCAUUGUUCGGAAUUACUGGGCGUAAAGGGUGCGUAGGCGGAUAGGAUAGUCAGAUGUGAAAGCCCAGGGCUCAACCCUGGAAUUGCAUUUGAUACUGCUUGUCUGGAGUAUUGGAGAGGAGCGUGGAAUUCCCAGUGUAGAGGUGAAAUUCGUAGAUAUUGGGAGGAACACCAGUGGCGUAGGCGACGCUCUGGCCAAAUACUGACGCUGAGGCACGAAAGUGUGGGGAGCAAACAGG
This 253-nucleotide ribosomal RNA is filed under the name uncultured bacterium. RNAcentral's name for it is "partial 16S ribosomal RNA". It matches the Rfam family "Bacterial small subunit ribosomal RNA", at positions 524 to 776 of the family's 1533-position model. The record is from RNAcentral.